This is a long non-coding RNA of Penaeus monodon (black tiger shrimp), 560 nucleotides long. RefSeq lists it as uncharacterized. The record is from RefSeq and is a predicted model, not a curated record. NCBI's taxonomy places the organism in Eukaryota, Metazoa, Arthropoda, Malacostraca, Decapoda, Penaeidae. The transcript is spliced from 3 exons.
AUACAAGAGUCGAAACUGGCGCUUCACACACUGACAAGUUGCCAAUGACUACAAACAGGAGGAGAGGGAUUUCGUACAGCACCUAAUCAUAUUCUGAAAAUGUGAUAGUUUGCGAUGUGCCACAGUGAUCAGAAACACAAGGGAGUGAAGGCUUAUAUCUUUAUAUGUCACCCAAGUGUGUGGUUUUACUUAUAUUGAGAUCAUAUCAACAAUAGAAGAAACAGAUGUUGAUGAAACGAAAACCGAAAAGAGUGAAUGAAAUCCGGACAUUUGGUCAGCAAGUGCUUGAAUUCUUCUUCGGAAAUACCACCACCGUCCAGGUAGUAGAUUUUCCCUUCCAGUAAGACGGUCCACAACGCACUCCAGAUCUUCUCCAUCUAAGAUAAGGUCUUCGUUAUAAUCUGUGGGAAAGCAGAUAAGGUCAAGUGAUUAAACACAUCGAAGGGGGUGGAUUUUUGAAGGUAUAGGAGACAGAAAAUGGGAAUAAUGUAGGUAACAGAAAACGGGAGGGUGGUUAAAGAAAACAGGAAUGAGGGAGAGACUGAUCUAUCUGACCCUCC